UUUCCUUCGGGAAACAAGUAGAGUGGCGCACGGGUGAGUAACACGUAGGUAAUCUACCUUUGGAUGGGGAAUAACAACCGGAAACGGUUGCUAAUACCGCAUAAUGCAGCGGCACCUAAUGGUGACAGUUGUUAAAGCGGGGGAUCGAAAGACCUCGCGUCUAAAGAGGAGCCUGCGGCGGAUUAGCUAGUUGGUAAGGUAAUGGCUUACCAAGGCUACGAUCCGUAACCGGCCUGAGAGGGCGGUCGGUCACACUGACACUGACAUACGGGUCAGACUCCUACGGGAGGCAGCAGUCGGGAAUUUUGGGCAAUGGGCGAAAGCCUGACCCAGCAACGCCGCGUGAAGGAUGAAAUCCCUCGGGAUGUAAACUUCGCAAGAACGGGAAGAAUAAGCGAGAGUUAAUAUCUUUCGUGAUGACGGUACCGUUUGUAAGCUCCGGCUAACUCCGUGCCAGCAGCCGCGGUAAUACGGGGGGAGCANGCGUUGUUCGGAUUUACUGGGCGUAAAGGGCGCGUAGGCGGUCAGCACAAGUCAGUUGUGAANUCUCCGAGCUUAACUCGGAACGGUCAACUGAUACUGUGCGACUAGAGUGCGGAAGGGGCAACUGGAAUUCUUNGGUGUAGCGGUGAAAUGCGUAGAUAUCAAGAGGAACACCUGCGGCGAAGGCGGGUUGCUGGGCCGACACUGACGCUGAGGCGCGAAAGCCAGGGGAGCGAACGGGAUUAGAUACCCCGGUAGUCCUGGCCUUAAACGAUGAAUGCUUGGUGUCUGGGGUUAUAAAGUCCCCGGGUGCCGUCGCUAACGCUUUAAGCAUUCCGCCUGGGGAGUACGGUCGCAAGACUGAAACUCAANGGAAUUGACGGGGACCCGCACAAGCGGUGGAGCAUGUGGUUUAAUUCGACGCAACGCGAAGAACCUUACCUGGGCUAGAAUGCCUCUGACAACCCUAGAGACAGGGCCUCCAAGGUAAAACUUGGCAGAGUGCAAGGUGCUGCAUGGCUGUCGUCAGCUCGUGUCGUGAGAUGUUGGGUUAAGUCCCGCAACGAGCGCAACCCUUAUCUUUAGUUGCCAGCAUUAAGUUGGGCACUCUAGAGAGACUGCCGUUGACAAAACGGAGGAAGGUGGGGAUGACGUCAAGUCCUCAUGGCCUUUAUGUCCAGGGCUACACACGUGCUACAAUGGCCGGUACAAACCGCCGCAAACUCGCAAGAGGGAGCCAAUCGGAAAAAGCCGGUCUCAGUUCGGAUUGAAGUCUGCAACU
RNAcentral lists this ribosomal RNA (1264 nucleotides) under uncultured Acidobacteriota bacterium. Its description in RNAcentral is "bacterial SSU rRNA". It matches the Rfam family "Bacterial small subunit ribosomal RNA", at positions 74 to 1312 of the family's 1533-position model. Lineage: Bacteria; Pseudomonadati; Acidobacteriota. The record is from RNAcentral.